Long non-coding RNA from Oncorhynchus nerka (sockeye salmon), 3090 nucleotides. RefSeq lists it as uncharacterized. The transcript has 3 exons. NCBI's taxonomy places the organism in Eukaryota, Metazoa, Chordata, Actinopteri, Salmoniformes, Salmonidae. The record is from RefSeq and is a predicted model, not a curated record.
AGCUGGCCACGCUGCCAGCUGAAGAGAAGGAGAGAAUGGGGAGGAGAGAGCUGGCCACGCUGCCAGCUGAAGAGAAGGAGAGAAUGGGGAGGAGAGAGCUGGCCACGCUGCCAGCUGAAGAGAGCAGCUUGCUGAUGGGGGAGGAGGAGUAGAGGCAGAGUGAAGCAGGCAGCGUGGAACAGGAACAAGACACAGAAUAGUAAUAAAUAAAUAAAAAUCAAAGAACCACUGAUCCGGGGGAGAGAGGUAGGAAGAUACGAGAAGACGUGUGACGGUAAAGAGGACGUGGACACACUGUAGCGUCAGGUGUGAGGAGUAGCAUGCCUAUCCAAACCAGCAGAGCGCUCGCAAGAUAGCUUGAGGGCACCAAGUGUCACUCAGGCGGUAAAUGCUGCACAAUCCAGUUGUGGAAAGCUCUUGGAGGCUUCCCAGAAAGACAGCUGUAAUCGGCGUGUGAUGACACUGCUCUGGAUGAAGUUCAUGGUUGGGAUUGUACACUAUACCGUCCAGAUGUCAAUCUCAACAUAAAAAAACGAAUGAAAUUAUCAAAUUGAUUGUUUGACAUUUAUAAAAUUGCAUAGCGAAUAUGGCAAUAUGAAUACUGUGCUCGUUAUGUUUUUUGCAUGAGUUAUACAAUAAGAAAUAAAAUGGUAAUGAUUCAUCUCGAAGUGGCCAUUGAUUUAGCAUAAUUGAACACGUCACAAGUAGUGUCACUCCAUCUAGUGGAAGGGGAAAGAAAACGGCUUAGGAUUCAGCAGCGGGCUGCAUAACCUGUUUGUAUAUCCAAUCACAGCGCAGCGACAUGUUUUCAGGCCCACCUUCAGCGUUGCCCCUGUGGCGUCAGGUUUGAAAUGAGAUGAGAAACCAAAAGGAAAUGAGAGAGAGCUCAAACAAGAGGCCUGUGCUUCUGGGAAGGAGGGAGGAAGGGAAGAGGGAGGGAUGAGAGAACGCAACGCUGCCGUGUGUGCUUGACAAAUUAGUGUUCGUAGAACUACCAGAUAAGAGUGCCAUCGGCGGCGACUCCUCUCCUACCACCGACACUGUUGGCAGCUUCAAUACAAGAACAAGACUCUACCUUGACCCUUUUCUCCUGCUCCUCCAAUAGCAGCACAGUAAAAUGUGUAAUAGACAGGAUCCUGUGUUUUGCGCAAUCAUGUGACAGAAAUAUUUUAUUCUGUAUUUUAAACCAUAUUCAGAAAUGAGAAUUGCACCAAAAGAAUUCAAGCUAUGGUCUCCAUUUAUAGCUGGGAAGGGACCUCUACUGUUUCUACAAGACCAGCAGAGUAUAAUUUCUGUUUCAACUUGUUAUUGUUUACUUUGGUCAAUUCCUACUAGCACAGACUUUGUUGAUAACUAUUGAGGGAAAAUGUACUUGUUACAACUGUGAUACGUGGUCUCACCUAGCUAUUUUAAGAUAACUGUGCCAAUUUUAAGUCGCUCUGGAUAAGAGUGUCUGCUAAAUUACUAAAAUAAAAAUGAUACUCCUGAACCAUCUGACAACAAAAGGUGACAGUUUGAUGAAAAGGGUUCAAAUCCAGGUAUGUCACAUGACUGUGCAAAACAGGGCCCUAGAUCGAGGCUAGCCAAGCAGUACUACGCACAAGGAGGUAAGUGGGAAUAAGAGCAGCGAGUGUGGGAGAGGCGCCACGGUAGCCUGGUUGCUCCUUCUGCGGGUCCCCAGAGGUGACAGUGAGUGACAGCCUGGCACAGGUCACAAUGUCCAGCCAGCCUUGUUAAUCCACAAUUGGGGGUUAGGCUCAGGUAGCGGUAGGAAAACUGUAGUAAACAAAUAAGAACGUGGCAAAUGGGGAAUGGGAAGGAGGUCAAUGCCUAUAGCGGAAAUUGCUUAUUCAAAAUAUGUUGCCAUGGAUAAAAAAUGGAAUCGGCAAGGUUUAUGCUACACACUCCUUUGCAGGGAAUACCUGGUCGGAGUCAUGUGAAUAAAAGUAAAUAGGCUGGCCCUGUCAUUAUGUUACUAAGCCAGUGGGCUCCCUGCACUUUUCCAUUCCCAGUUCAUCAUGGGAGUAAACAGCGACAGAGGUCAAUAAAGCAAUAACAGAUAAGGUCCCACCACUAACACAGAGCAGCAUGGUAGAUAGUUCUGGGGAAUUACCCAACAUUUUGGUUCUUUUUUUGUUUAAAAAAAAAAAAAAUUGACUUCACAUGUUCAAUUAUUUGAAUUCCAUUUCCUUUGUUUUUUCUGAGAGCACAAUGGAGUUUCUCUAGAGAUAAAUCAGAUCAAGCCCGAACUGUGGGAUGUAUACUGAACAAAAAUAAAAGCAACAAUUUCAAAGAUUUUGCUGAGUUACAGUUGACACAAGGAAAUCAGUCAAUUGAAAUAAAUAGAUUAGCCCUAAUCUACACCUGGGCUGGUGUGGUUACACGUGGCUUGCAGUUGUGAGGCCAGUUUGACGUACUGCCAAAUUCUCUAAAACGACAUUGGAGGUGGUUUAUGGUUGAGAAAUUAAUAUUGAAUUCUCUGGGAACAGCUCUGGUGGACAUUCCUGCAGUCAGCAUGCCAAUUGCACACUCCCUCAAAACAUCUGUGACAUUGAGAUAAUGGCCAAUUUUAGAGUGGCCUUUUAUUGUUCCCUAGCACAAGGUGCACCUGUGUAAUGAGUAUGCUGUUUAAAUCAGCUUCUUGAUAUGCCACACCUGUCAGGUCGAUGGAUUAUAUUGACAAAAGGAGAAAUGAUCACUAACAGGGAUAUAAACAAAUGUGUGCACAAAAUUUGAGAGAAAUUAAAAUCUUUGCGCAUAUAAAACCUUUCUGGGAUCUUUUAUUUCAGCUCAUGAAACAUGCGACCAACACUUUACAUGUUUCAUUUAUACUUUGUUCAGUGUAGUAAGGAGUUACCAAAAUAACAAUAUCCAACAUAGUGCAGAAAAAGCAGUAAUUAACUACAAUGACCAUAAUCCAUUGCUCGCCUACACAGGAUAGAGCGCAGGCUGCAUCGUGAGGUAUCUCUGCCUGAAAAUACAUGAUCUAAGUGAUUGGUAUUCAGCAGUCAUAAAAGUAUGUCUUAUUUACUUUGACAAACUACUAAAAUAGUGAUUUGUCAGACAGCAGCUUUGUAGAAAUGAGAUGAC